Molecule: ribosomal RNA, 399 nt
Filed under: Bacillus cereus
Lineage: Bacteria; Bacillati; Bacillota; Bacilli; Caryophanales; Bacillaceae
Description: bacterial SSU rRNA
Rfam family: Bacterial small subunit ribosomal RNA
Source: RNAcentral
ACAUGCAAGUCGAGUUUGAAUGGAUUAAGAGCUUGCUCUUAUGAAGUUAGCGGCGGACGGGUGAGUAACACGUGGGUAACCUGCCCAUAAGACUGGGAUAACUCCGGGAAACCGGGGCUAAUACCGGAUAAACAUUUUGAACCGCAUGGUUCGAAAUUGAAAGGCGGCUUCGGCUGUCACUUUAUGGAUGGACCCGCGUCGCAUUAGCUAGUUGGUGAGGUAACGGCUCACCAAGGCAACGAUGCGUAGCCGACCUGAGAGGGUGAUCGGCCACACUGGGACUGGAGACACGGGCCAGACUCCUACGGGAGGCAGCAGUAGGGGAAUCUUCCGCAAUGGACGAAAGUCUGACGGAGCAACGCCGCGUGAGUGAUGAAGGCUUUCGGGGUCGUAAAAACU